This 269-nucleotide ribosomal RNA is filed under the name uncultured bacterium. RNAcentral describes it as "partial 16S ribosomal RNA". It matches the Rfam family "Bacterial small subunit ribosomal RNA", at positions 565 to 832 of the family's 1533-position model. The record is from RNAcentral.
GAGCACGUAGGUGGGUUUGUAAGUCCGUCUGUGAAAUCCCUCGGCUUAACCGAGGAACUGCAGCGGAUACUGCAGGACUAGAGUUCAGGAGGGGAGAGUGGAAUUCCUGGUGGAGCGGUGAAAUGCGUAGAUAUCAGGAGGAACGCCGGUGGCGAAAGCGACUCUCUGGACUGGAACUGACGCUGAGGUGCGAAAGCCAGGGGAGCGAACGGGAUUAGAUACCCCGGUAGUCCUGGCCCUAAACGAUGGGCACUAAGUAGAGGGGUUUU